RNAcentral lists this long non-coding RNA (2739 nucleotides) under Mytilus galloprovincialis (Mediterranean mussel). The record is from RNAcentral. Lineage: Eukaryota; Metazoa; Mollusca; Bivalvia; Mytilida; Mytilidae.
UUAAAGUGUUAAAUGGCUUGAUAAUUAUGUGGCUUUUUACAGAUGUUGAUAUAUACAUUUAUCAUAUGUUUAGUAAUAAAUAAGUGUUGUUUGAUAUACCUUUAUCGGCAACUUUGAUGUGCACCUUUUAUCGCCUACCCUUUAUCACACCCCUACUUUUUUUUUUUUUUUUUACAUAAAGUCAGUUUUGGUUUUUAGGCAGUUAAGCUGCCUUAUGCGAGCGCCCUGGAUUUGUGUGCUACCCAAUAAAUGCUGAAAUACGUGCCAUUGUUAUCAUCUAGCUGGCUACUAUAUUAUUUAUAACUUAUUGGACAGUUUUUUCAUACUUUUCAUUCUGGAUUACAAAAAAUAUGACCAGAAAAACCUUAAAUGAUCGUCGAUUUUCCCAAAAGUUUUGAAGUUGCACAUAGGAAGUAGAGCACAUUAGGAAUCCUUAUGUAGUUUAUUAUCCCCUGAGCUUUUGGCUAAGAUGUCAAAGAACAAAUGUAUGAAAUAUUUAAUCGCCGAAAAUCUCUAAAGACAAGUAGUUAAGAUUUCCCAAAUUACAAAAGUCGUAGGAAUAUUGUUUGUCGUCAAUACGUAGUCAACUACGUAUAUAUACGUCAGUAGUCUAUUAAUAUAAGUUCAACUGAUCACGCUGUUGGCGGCAAUUUUGAAUUAGAAGACGAAAUUUUCGUAUCUUUUCAAUUUGGACGCAGGGGUUCAAAUUAGCGGUGGUCCGAGGUCUGCGACCUUCCACUUUUGCAGUCGGACUUUCUACUUGGUUACUAGCUACGCCCGACGGACCUUGAAAGAAAAUAAAAAAAUAACUUUGCAAACAUUUUUACCGAAAGUUUCCUAAUAAACGAUCUCAAACUUAUUUUCAUCAUUACCAUUCAUGACAGCGAUGUUCAAUUUGUUCAACCGCUAGCUUUAUACAGAAAAUCGCCGAUAAAUAAUGUGUAAAUCCGAGUAAAAUCGUAUCUCACUAUCUGUCAAAAACAACAUUGAAAACAAAAUGGCUGCCGCGAGAUUACAAUAUCGGAUCCGAUUCCGGAAGCGGAUAAGGGUAAUCCCGGGUUUUGGCUAUCAACUAAAAAAAAUCCAGACAGGUGACAAAAUACAUCUAUGCCUGGUAAAUAAAUAUAAACACUAGAAUUUAAAACCAAAAGAUAUAUGUAAAAGAAAGAAAAAGCAGAAAAUAUUUUGUACACCAAUUUUAAUGUCAAAAUCCAAUACAAUGUGACAGCUGGGAACAGUUUAUCUAACAAUAUAUGUUCCUGGUAACAGUAUAAUUUUUUUUUUAUCAGUGAUAAAUGUUGGUAAUGAAUGUUAAAUGCUUUUCAAGUUAAACAUAUUACUGCAAUUUCAAGGGGUAUUUUUUUCUUCUCAAUUUUGAUAGGUCAGUUAAAAUAGCUGGAAGUUUCUUAUAUAUAAAAAAAAAAAAAAAAAAAGAUGUGGUAUGAUUGCCAAUGAGACAACUAUCCACAAGAGACCAAAAUGACAAAACUUGGUAAUGGUCAAGAUCCCCACCCCUAAACCAUAUAUAUUCAUGUAUGGGACAAUAUAACAAAUCAUAUGAAAUAUAGGUGGAGUUCGUUGGGCCACUCUGACUACCCCUUUCUGUUUGAGAAUUUAUAACGGUCGAGAUCCACAAUCUUAAACAAUAUAUAUUUAUGUAUGGGACAAUAUUACAAAUCAAAUGAAUUAUAAGGGGGUCCCUAUGGUCACUGUACACCCUCCUGUUUGAGAACUUGGAAAAAUUCGAGAUCAUCACCCCUUAACCAUAUAAAUGAUAUAUACUCAUGUAUAAGACUAUAUAACAAAUCAAAUGAAAUAUAGGGGAAGUCCCUGUGGUCACCCUACCCCUCAUGUUUAAGAACUUUGAAACAGUUGGGAUCCCCAACUCUAAAUUAAAUGAAAUAUAGGGGGAGUCCCUGCAGUCACCUGAUUGAGAAAUUGGAAACAGUCGAGAUCCCCACCUUUAAAUUAAACCAUAUAUAUUCAUGUAUGAGAACUAAUCAAAUGAAAUAUAGGGAGAGUCCUUAGGGUCACCCUACCCACACCUUGUUUGAUAACUUAGAAACAGAUGAGAUCCCCACCCCUCAACCAUACAUAUUCAUGUAUUGGACAAUAUAACAAAUCAAAUGAAAUAUAGGGGAAGUCACUGGGGUCCCCCACCCCCUCCUGUUUGAAAACUUGAUAACGGUCGAGAUCCCCACCCAUAAACCAUAUAUAUUCAUGUAUGGGACAAUAUAAAAAAUCAAAUGAAAAAUAGGGGUAGUCCCUAGGGUCACCCCACACCCUCUUGUGUGUGUUUUGAGAACUUGUAAAAGAUUGAGAUGCCAACACCUAAACCAUAUUCAUUCCUGCUUGUCAUUUCAAAAAAGAUUGAAUGACAUACAAGGUCAAUCUCAUAGGCGACACAUAUGCAUAUCACUUUGCUAGACCCUAACACCUGUCAUUUUAUUCCAAACUGAGACAUCAUGGACUUGGGGUGAAGGUGGGAGUCAUUUACAUUUACUAUGGACAGGUCAGUCAGACCUCACCAUUGAUCCCUGUAGUAUAGUAAACAUUUGUCUGAUUUGUGUCUCAUAACUUUUGUACUGUACAACACAAACUCAGUUUUCUUUCCAGGGAAGCAAGUCCAUUCAUACUUUUACAAGCUCGUCGUACUAAAGUCAACUUGAACUACUAACAGUCAACUAAUACGAACAAUUACGAUCAACUAGAAGAACUGCAAUCAUUGCAAAUUUGUAC